This 293-nucleotide ribosomal RNA is filed under the name uncultured bacterium. RNAcentral's name for it is "partial 16S ribosomal RNA". It matches the Rfam family "Bacterial small subunit ribosomal RNA", at positions 775 to 1067 of the family's 1533-position model. The record is from RNAcentral.
GGAUUAGAUACCCUGGUAGUCCACACCGUAAACGAUGUCUACUAGCUGUGUGUGUAUUUAAUACGUGCGUAGCGCAGCCAACGCGAUAAGUAGACCGCCUGGGGAGUACGGCCGCAAGGUUAAAACUCAAAUGAAUUGACGGGGGCCCGCACAAGCGGUGGAGCAUGUGGUUUAAUUCGAUGCAACGCGAAGAACCUUACCUACACUUGACAUACUAAGAACUUACUAGAGAUAGUUUGGUGCCUUCGGGAGCUUAGAUACAGGUGCUGCAUGGCUGUCGUCAGCUCGUGCUG